UUAAUUAAAUCUAUACACUAUUUGAUACACGAAAUUGGAGGAGCUAAUUAUUAUAUAUUUAUAGAUCACAAGGUGUUGCAGAACUUAGAAAUAAUAAUUAGGAGUGAUAGACUUAUCAAUUCCAAUGAUAGCUUGAUUACCAUUAAAUGUAUAAGUACAACAACACUUUCAAAAUGAUAAGGUUUUGAAAGAUAAAUAAUGUACUUGAAUUUUAUAAUAUUUUGUUUAAUCACUAAUAUUUUGAUAAUCUAUAAUAAAUUGAGCUUGCUUGUUUUUUGUAGUGGUAAAUAGGGAAAUAAUAUAUAUAUAUAUAAUGUUAAUAUUAGUAACUUUAAAUAUAAAACAUGAACUCGGCAAUAAGUCUUUUAACUGUUUAUCAAAAACAUAGCUACAUGAAUUAAUAUGUGGUAAUUUCUGCUCAAUGAAGUUUAAAUAGCCGCAGUACUCUGACUGUGCUAAGGUAGCGCAAUCAAUUGGCUUUUAAUUGGAGUCCUGUAUGAAAGAAAACAUAAGGGACUACUUUAUUUUUUGUAAUUAAUGAACUUGCUUAAAAAGUGCAAAAACUUUUAUAUAAAUAAUAGACGAGAAGACCCUAGAAAUUUUGCCGCAAAACGUUUUGUUGGGGCAACAUAGUAGCAAUACAACCUACUUAAAAUACACGAAAGCUAUAUUUUGUAAGAUUAAAUUACUCUAGGGAUAACAGCAUAAUUUACAAAAGUUUGUGACCUCGAUGUUGGAUUAGGGUAUUAACAUUAAAAG
Molecule: ribosomal RNA, 759 nt
Filed under: Austrochloritis metuenda
Lineage: Eukaryota; Metazoa; Mollusca; Gastropoda; Stylommatophora; Camaenidae
Description: partial large subunit ribosomal RNA
Rfam family: Archaeal large subunit ribosomal RNA (bases 360-518)
Source: RNAcentral